CAGUAGCCGCGGUAAUGCGAAGGGAGCCAGCGUUGUUCGGAAUCACUGGGCGUAGAGCGCACGUAGGCGGCUAUUCAAGUCAGGGGUGAAAGCCCGGGGCUCAACCCCGGAACUGCCUUUGAAACUAGAUAGCUUGAAUCUUGGAGAGGCGAGUGGAAUUCCGAGUGUAGAGGUGAAAUUCGUAGAUAUUCGGAAGAACACCAGUGGCGAAGGCGACUCGCUGGACAAGUAUUGACGCUGAGGUGCGAAAGCGUGGGGAGCAAACAGGAUUAGAUACCCCGGUAGUCCCUGUCUCUUAUAC
This 301-nucleotide ribosomal RNA is filed under the name uncultured bacterium. Its description in RNAcentral is "partial 16S ribosomal RNA". It matches the Rfam family "Bacterial small subunit ribosomal RNA", at positions 509 to 807 of the family's 1533-position model. The record is from RNAcentral.